This is a non-coding RNA of Cherax quadricarinatus, 6144 nucleotides long. Lineage: Eukaryota; Metazoa; Arthropoda; Malacostraca; Decapoda; Parastacidae. The record is from RefSeq and is a predicted model, not a curated record.
GUGGUGGAGCGGCCACCUAGCGGCCACCAGCCCAGUCUCUGGCGUGAGCGGCCGCGGAGCAACACUGUAUAACCCGGCGGCAAAUAUAUCCAUUAUGCCCUCCUCGUCGCCUAGUGCUUCGUCUGCCGGUACCCAGGUGGAGCUGGGCGGGGCGUGAGGUGCCUGACGCAGGAGUGUGGCACCGGUGGUUGUCGAUCCCCGCCGGGUGGUCGCCGCCGCCGCCGCCGCCGUCGUCUUGGUGGUGGUGGUGUUGAGUUCCGCAGGCAGCCGUCGCGGCGCACCGGGCCUAGUGGUCGGGUAUGCCCCCAGGCGAGCAGUGUGCGUUGGAGCAGUGUCUGUGGGAGGCCCGUGUGUUGCAGACGUGUGCAUGGCCAGGUUGUGAGACACUGGCAUGCCGCCUCCAGGCAACUCUAUCCGUACAUUAACUCCUACACUCCACCCUCCUCUGUCCUUCCCUCCCGGCGCCUCGCUGCGAGCCACACGUUGCUCUCUCUCCCGCGCACCGUUACCUUCCUUCCUUACUUGGUUUAUUAACGCAUCUCCGUUACCCAGUGACUCGCCUAUGUAUAAACUGUUUGCUUAUGUAGCCUAGUUUUUUUUUUUUUUUUGCCUACGUGGCCCAGACAGCGACAGUUUUCUCGCGUAUACAAAAAAUAUAUAUAUGAUAUAUAAAAUUAGAUAAGAAAAUUUGCCAGUGUUUUGUUUCACUCGAAAGUUUUCUUUUUUUCGCGAGUGUGAAGGAAGUGAAGGAGUGGUAGAGCCGCCAGAAGCAACGCCCAGACACCUAACUUGCCCACCUGAGGAGUCACCAUACCUGAUUCUUGCAAGCACCAUAGCCUCCCUUCAAGCCAGAAGCCGUUACACUUCAUUUCUCAGUCUCAAAGACCCACAGAGUGGUCUUGUAGUCCCCAGGAGCUGCCAAAAAAGAACGCGAGGGUCCUGUAGAGGUGCUACAGCUACCACAGACCCAGAAGACGCUGGAAUUAACUUUUUCAGCUGAGGAUAGAGAGGGUCACCCUAGCAAGCACUGGCCCGCGAGCGGAUGUCUGGAGUCAAGCAGGUUCUCCGCCACAGUGCUGCUGCUGCUGCUGCUGCUGCCACUCCUGCUGCUGCUGCUGCCGCUACUACCUCUAUUACUUCUCAUUCUACUGCUGCUGCUUCCUCUAUCAGUGACCUCGUCGCGCAGAGGCUACUCUCGACUGCCCAAUCUACUCGCCAUUUUCAGUCUGCUGAAGAUAUGACAGAAAGGAUACGAGAGAACAGGGAACAUGGACAGGCAGCAGAGGUGUCUAGACGACACAUGGAACAUGGGCAGGCAGCACAGGUGUCUAGAUGACACAAGGAACAUGCACAAGUAGCAGAGGUGUCUAUACGACACAGGGAACGUGGACGUAGGCAGAAUUAUUGGGGAAGCGUUAAUCCUGUAGGAGUCAUGCAGUGGCUGGGGAAUAACAGGCAAUGAGCCUUGAUUCGAGGGAUGGGAGAGUGAAAUUUUUCUCGUUGUGUCAAUAAGUAAUAUUAAAUUUUUAUUGUUUAUGAGGAGACCUAAAUCGUAUUUAGCACUCUUUAUAUGUGUUAUGUUAUGUAGAUUUAACCUAGAAUGACUCAGGAAAGUAUAAAAAAUAAUUGACUUUAUUUCCAAUGAUGUAGUUUCCUUCCUGCUGGAGGAAGUUUGACCUCGGCGCUUCUGCGAAUUUCCUUGGCUGUGAGUGAGACGGGAAUCCUGGAAUGUCUCAGCGCCAGUAAUGACAACUCUGGGAGAUGUGCUGACAAGAGUAUAAAUCUGGGAGAUGCCCUGGCAAUAGCAGAAAACUGGGAGAUGGGCUGGUAACAGCAGAAAUCUGGGAGAUGCGUUGGCAAGAGUAGAAUUCUGGGAGAUGCGCUGGCAACAGCAAAAAUCUGGGAGAUGCGCUGGCAACAGCAAAAAUCUGGGAGAUGCGCUGGUAACAGCAGAAAUCUAGGAGAUGCGCUGGUAACAGCAGAAAUCUGGGAGAUGCGCAGGUAACAGCAAAAAUCUGGGAGAUGCGCUGGUAACAGCAGAAAUCUGGGAGGGAGCGGUAGUUAUAGUUAGGAAAGUUGCAGAUGCGGUUGAAUGCAGACAAAUGUAAGGUUCUAAUCCGAGGAAAAGAAAAUAGCCUAAAUAAUGUAGAUCUUAGUCAAAUUGAGUGCGAAAAAAAUAGGAGUUUUGUUUAGUAGUAAUCUAAUGCCAAGACAACAGUGCGUAAGUGUUCACAAUAAAGCUAAUAGAAUUCUUAGUUUCUUAUCAAGACAGAUAAUAGAAGUCCUCAGGUCAUACUUCAACUUUAUAUAUCUUUGGUAAGCUCUAUUUAGAUCAUGCUACUCAGUUCUGGUCUCCCUAUUAUAGGAUGGACAUUACACUAGAUGUACAGAGAAGGAUGACGAAGUUGAUCCCAUGUAUCAGAAUCCUUUCCUACGAGGAUAGACUGAAUUCACUAACUUGCACUCUCUGGAAAGACGUGGAAUUUGGGGAUAUGAAAAGUGCACAAAUAAAUAAAGGGGAUAUAAAUAUGGUGCUAAAAAUGUCUAGCCAAGACAGGACUCGCAACACUGAUUUCAAAUUGGAGAAAUUUAGAUUUAGAAAGGCUAUAGGGAACUACUGGUUUGGUAAUCGAGUUGUGGAUGAGUGGAACAAACCCCCAGGUAGUGUCAUUGAAGCGGAUAGCUUUAAACAUAGAUUGGACGUGUAUAUGAGUGGGUGAGAGUUAAACCUGCCUAGCUUUUAGCCAGUAGGCCUACUGCAGUGUUCCUUCAUUCUUGUGUAACUAAAGAAAUAUGUGGAAGGAUCUCUGGUAACAACAGAAAUCUAGAAGGUUAAGUGGUAACAGCAGUAGUCUAGGAGCAGUGGUAAUACUUGUAGUCUAGGAGCAGUGGUAAUACUUGUAGUCUAGGAGGAGCAGUGGUAACAGCAGUAGUCUAGGGUGGUAACAGCAGUGGUCUAAGAAGAGCUGUGAUAAAAGCAGGGGAAAAAACUAAAUUCUGCUGGUAUGCUGCCACUGGAUAGAUGCUUGCUUCUUCACUGUCACAGUAUUUAAACUUGACUGUCUCCUCUCUCCUCGCCUCUGCUAUCUUAUCCCGUCUCUCUGAACAUUUAUAUAUGCCACGUGAACUCUUAAACCACCAUAAAUAAUGAUAAGGUCACUAAAAAGUAUUUUACACAUCGGAGACAACCUGUGUCCCCCCAACUCUUGUCUGUGGCAGUGACGUCACAAGCCUAAAUAUAAACAUUAGAAUCCAUAUUUAACACGAGGCUCUAUUAAUUUUAACCAGGAUGACAUAAUACAUUAAUAAUUGGGCUUAAGGCGCUUUAUUUUAUGGAAUUGUAUUGAUUAGAAAAUAUAUUGAUAACAAGGAUAAUGAUAAUCCAAAUAAUUAUUAAAGAGAAAAUAAAGGAAGUGAAUGCGAAUUAUGAUUAUAGGGUAACUUGAAUUAAUAAUAAUGUUAAUAAUGUUGUCAUUACUAAAUUUAUUACAAGAUCACUAACAAUAUUUACCAUUAAUAAUUUUUUUAAUCAACAAUUGGUAGGCUUCAUUGUGUGGCUGCCCUGACUUGUAUGACAUUAUUAUACAAGGUUAGAGCAAGAGUGAACUAUGCUUGCCUUACACACCAAUGUACUACCUGGUCUUCACACAAUGAUUUUGCUGAUUUAGUUCAACUUGAAUAAUUACAGGUCUGAGGUUGUUUAUAUAGCGUGUCACUAUCACACAGGAUGGUAUUUUAAGUUCAUCAUGAAUCAUUGUAGCAGGUGUAUUAUAUUCAUUACAAAUGAUGAGUGUACGGCAGGGGAUUACAAUAUAAAUUUCGAACUAUUGAAUGGGUAAUUAAUUAUUUCAUACAAGUUUAUUUUGGAUUCACAUCUAAUCCUCAAUUCUAAAAGGAAAGUUUUUAGAUACUAAGCCAGUGGUUCCGAAACUUUUUUUUCAGGCUGCCGCCCCUUUGUCUCCCAGGACACAUCCCUAGCGCCCCUCCUCCCCACACAUACAAAUACACCUCUUUCUUGGUAUUAGGUUUACUGCAAAUUCAAAACAACUAAUCUAACGCUAUAAACAAACGUAUUUAUUUCACAAAUAAAAAUUAACAUAGUAAACCAAUUUAUUUAACAUGAUUUAUAUUGUGCCAUAUAGAUUUUGUAAAACAAACGCUAAUUAUACACAUCUCCAGAGAAUGUAAGUUCGGUGCCUUCUGCCUGUCUUUCUUUGUAGAAAAAGUUUUCUGAUAUAUGGGAUUAACUUCAUCAUUCUGUGUUUUCCAGCACAUUUAUGUACAUUCUGUAAUAUGUGGACCAGAACUGAACAGCAUGAUCUAAAUGAGGCCUUACUAAGGAUAUAUGAAAAUGAAGUGUAACCCAGGGGCGUAUCACCCAGGAGGGGAUGCUAAAGCGAAGCUAGUUAGAACCCCAGGACUAACCUCUCUCCCCCUAGGGAUAAAAUACCUCUAGGAUAAAAGCCCCCAGUAAAAGUGCAAAAUAUGGUAAAAAAAAAAUCACUUUUUUAGCUGGUUAUUAGUUUGGUUAGCUUUGGUAUGUUUGGUUAGGCUAGGAAAUACUGAUUCUUGAGUAUUGUGGACGAGUGGAGCAAACUGAGAAGUAGAGUCAUUGAAGACAACAGCUUAGGUAGCCUUAGGUGCCUUCUGAGUAUCUUGUGUGUCGCAAUUAUGUCUACCCUGGUCCUUUUUUUGCGCUUCUAACGUCAUAUGGAUCAUUUUCCUUUAGUCUCUAGUUAUAGACAUUUUUUCUCUGUACCGGGACAAAUCUUGUUGCGAGGCUCUACACUUUCUCCAGUUUCUUGAUAUGCCUUGUUAGCUGUGAGCUUCACGAUGGUGCUGCAUACUCCAAAGUAAGCCUGAUGGCGAGUCAUUCUUUGUUGAGGCUCCGGAGAGCUGUUACUUAAUUUGUUAAAAGUGCAUCUGCCUCAGAAGUUAGUCAGUUUGAUGUUUUCCUCUGGUGAUAGGUUUGGGACUAUGCUCACUCCUAUGUCCUUCACAUUGAGUAAAGGUUGCAACUCCUGCCCCCAGUCUGUACUCUGUUUUCAGUCUUCUUUCCCCUUCCUCAGUUUUCAUAGCUUUGCUGUUUCUGAGGUUGAAUUCCAGUAGCCACUUGUUUGAACCCUACUGGGUUCUGCCUCUACUGCUUUGAUCCACAUGAACACCUCUGCUGUGAUUCCUCUUUUCAUUUCUAGUUUUUGGUCCAAUCUCUAGUGCAGUACAGCAUCGAAUGUCUUCUUGCAACCCUGGAAUAUACAGUCCCUCUUAUUCCUAUUUAUUUCUGUUAAUCUGUGAUAGAAGUCCAGCUGGUCUGUGAGACAGUUUGCCAUCUCUGAAGCCUGUGUUUAGGAAGCUGCUCUUCUGGUGCUCCGCUUUUCUAUACAACACAAUACAACUUUAUUUCUGUUUUGCAGUAUACAAAAUGUAGUUUACAUGUAAUAAAAUAUUGUUAAGCACAUGAUUUUUGUCCCAUUUCAUUACAUUAUAUACGUGUCAAGGUUUCUUGGCUUGCCUGUAGUUUAAGGCUGCCUCCCUGUCUCUUAAAUGUUUGGACUACAUUUGUUGUCUUUCGUACCUCCGGCAGUUGCCCUGUUUACACUGACUUGUAUAUUAUAGCUAGCAGUUGAUGAUACAGAAAUUUGCAGUCAGGUUUCAACAGUCUUGCGGUGGGCAGUAGAAAAUUAGUGUUCAGUGGUGAUGAAUUUCAACUACUCAGAUAUGUAAAGAAUGGAGAACUCCAAACUUUGAGUCAAAAUGAGCAUAGAAAAAAAAAAAACGAGGACCAUCUCACAGGACGAAAGCAAUGCCAUUGCUGACACUGAUCAAAUCACUUGUGUACCACUGUUUAGCAUAUUAUUUGGUGUUGACGGCUCCUUCCAAGGCAGGAAAUGUAUCAGAGCUGGGAAAGGUAGAGAGGUCGUUUACUGCUGCACACAGCCAGCAAAUCAUUUAAGUUACCAACGAACCACAGCAGGGCUGUGGUUUGUACGUCGGUUUACGUUCGGCCAACAGUAACAGCCUGGUUAAUCAGGCCCUGAUCCAUCACCAGGCCAUGUCACGGACCGGGCCGCGGGGGCAUUGACCCCUAAACCCCCUCCAGGUAUCACCAUGUACAUGGAAAAAUUUAAAAGCACAUGCAGUAUA